UCGGUCAUGUCAUUCGGCGUUAGACUGCGAGGUAGUUGUUAAUACGUAAUGAACUUUGAACUACGAGAAUAUUGAUUUGCCUAUUUCUUUUGUAAAACGCGUUAAUAAGAUUAAUCUGGAUCCUGAUUCAAUAUUAAUAUAAUCAGCAUAAUAAUCAAUUGGAAAUACACUGGAGAAAUCCCCGUCUUAGGGGACCCUGCUCCGCAUCGCGAAGACCCUGCUCCGCAUCGCGAAGACCCUGCUCCGCAUCGCGAAGACCCUACUCCGCAUUGUCUCCACUCUCCACCCGCUUGCCACGCGAAGACCCUGCUCCGCAUUGUCUCCACCCGCUUGUCACGCGAAGACCCUCGCCUUGUUCCACGGUUGCCAGGGGAGUAGUCCAUCAAUCCCUUGAGUGGCAGUAUCAUUUUAUUUAAGGCCAUUAUACCACGUCCCUAACAAA
Molecule: long non-coding RNA, 442 nt
Organism: Melitaea cinxia (Glanville fritillary)
Lineage: Eukaryota; Metazoa; Arthropoda; Insecta; Lepidoptera; Nymphalidae
Exons: 2
Source: RefSeq, a predicted model, not a curated record